Molecule: long non-coding RNA, 507 nt
Filed under: Nicotiana benthamiana
Lineage: Eukaryota; Viridiplantae; Streptophyta; Magnoliopsida; Solanales; Solanaceae
Description: long non-coding RNA (NBEN_LNC022309)
Source: RNAcentral
AACAUUUCGCUGAAUACCUGGUGUCUGCAAUUCUGCAAAUUUUGUUUUUUAUAAUUGUUGUGACGAUUGGUUCAUUGUAGUUGUUGUUUGGUCGUUUGGCAUCAAUCACCUGCUCAGUUGGAGUCAAUUGGCAUUGGUCUUGUUCAAUUUGGACACCUGUAGCUCCAUGCUUGACCAGCUGGUGUUCGCUAACUAUAUUUAAUUGGUUGGAGGACUCUAUUCCGGCAUUAAAAGUGUCUGAAACUUGGUGGGUUAAUGGCAUUUGAAGUGGAGAACAAUCUCCAUUCUCCAUUGCUUGAAAUCACUCGAUUUGAAGCAGAACUGAUAUGAUAAAUAUCAGUUUUGCCCAAGUAAAUUUUCGCUACAGUACUCGCUCCACCAUUGUUGAAAUCUAGAACAGCUUGGGAAGAAAUGAGAGGGGCGUCUAGGUGGGGUUUAUGCACAAUUUUGAGACGUUCUUUUGUGACUGGUCCGGUGGCUUUUCACCACCGGACAACGACACAGUGG